AAACUUUCAACAACGGAUCUUUGGCUCUGGCAUCGAUGAAGAACGUAGCGAAAUGCGAUAAGUAAUGUGAAUUGCAGAAUUCAGUGAAUCAUCGAAUCUUUGAACGCACAUUGCGCCCGCCAGCACUCUGGCGGGCAUGCCUGUCCGAGCGUCACCUC
This 158-nucleotide ribosomal RNA is filed under the name Hirsutella rostrata. RNAcentral's name for it is "5.8S ribosomal RNA". It matches the Rfam family "5.8S ribosomal RNA". From Rfam's summary of the family: 5.8S ribosomal RNA (5.8S rRNA) is a component of the large subunit of the eukaryotic ribosome. The record is from RNAcentral. Lineage: Eukaryota; Fungi; Ascomycota; Sordariomycetes; Hypocreales; Ophiocordycipitaceae.